CAAUAGCGUAUAUUAAAGUUGUUGCAGUUAAAAAGCUCGUAGUUGGAUUUGUGGUUCGUCCCGCCGGCUGGGUCAUUGACUUUUGCUGUGCUGGUCGUCCAUCCUUGGGUGGAAUCUGUGUGGCAUUAGGUUGUCGCGCAGGGGAUGCCCAUCGUUUACUGUGAAAAAAUUAGAGUGUUCAAAGCAGGCUUAUGCCGUUGAAUAUAUUAGCAUGGAAUAAUGAUAUAGGACCUUGGUACUAUUUUGUUGGUUUGCGCACUGAGGUAAUGAUUAAUAGGGACAGUUGGGGGUAUUCGUAUUCCAUUGUAAGAGGUGAAAUUCUUGGAUUUUUGGAAGACGGACUACUGCGAAAGCAUUUACCAAGGAUGUUUUCAUUAA
This 378-nucleotide ribosomal RNA is filed under the name uncultured eukaryote. RNAcentral describes it as "partial 18S ribosomal RNA". It matches the Rfam family "Eukaryotic small subunit ribosomal RNA", at positions 592 to 976 of the family's 1831-position model. The record is from RNAcentral.